This is an RNA transcript of Lutzomyia longipalpis, 12027 nucleotides long. It is a transcript of the gene named protein mothers against dpp, with no coding region annotated. NCBI's taxonomy places the organism in Eukaryota, Metazoa, Arthropoda, Insecta, Diptera, Psychodidae. The transcript has 5 exons. The record is from RefSeq and is a predicted model, not a curated record.
AUUUUUGACAUAAAAGCAAGAUGGCAGUAAUUUUGAGUGGCGUGAAUUAUUUUUUGGCUCAAUUUGUGUGAAAAAAAGUAGUUUGGAAGGAAGGAAAAGUGCAAAAAGGCAGCAUUACUGGCCCGUGGAGGUGGAUUGAGUGGAAAUUUGUGUAGAAAGGACCCACCUGAGCAUUCUUUUCAUUUUGUUUCCCCCGGAAGCUUGUCCAAGGAUUCACUUGCGAGUGGUGAGUAGUUUGGCUUUUUUUGUGUGUUGCUUUUUGCCUGAUAACAGAAGCAUCUUGUGCAGAAUUAAUGCUUUUCUGGACCUCUAAUCUGCCCAAAUGUAGUAUAUUUGUGUUUUUGCAUGCCACAAACAUUGCAAUUGAGUUUUCGGGAACAGCUGAUUGAGCCCCGCGGGCUCUCUGCUGGCCAAAAAAAAACCUUUUUUGCAAUUUGAGGGUGAGCGACAUUACUAUUGCUCAGAAGAUUUCCGCGUCUCUCCUCCUAACUUGACCCUGAGAAGCACCUAAAAAUUCUGUGUGGGGUCCUCUUGUGGAUUUUCAAUUCAAAGGAGAUCCCCUCUAAGGGGAGGAAGAAGCUGGAAAUAUUUCCUGUAAUGACGCGCGUCUUGAGUACUGAUUUCCAUGGAAAAUUGCACACGGUGCUCUAACAAGCCACACAGUAUCAAUGAAUUGACGAAAAUUCAUCAUUCCUUUCACGAUAAAAUUCCGCGUGAGUCAUAUUUUAGCAAAUAGAGAGUAAUGCUUUACAAAAUCAGUUGUGAUUUCUUUGCACAUUUAUACAGGAGAAAACACUCGCGUGCAAAAGUGGAAGGAAAGACGGGAAUAUUUUUAUCCCUUGGAGGAUUUUGCUGGCCAAAGAGGCCAAUUCGACUUUUUUUUCAACCGCCACUGAAUUAAAAUCUAUUUAAUAUUUUGUAAAAUAAUUUAUAUAAUUUUUUGGAAUUUCCUAUAAUAAAUUUAACAUUUUUUACUAAAUUUUUUGGAGAAAUUCUUCAAUCUUUCCUUGGAUUCUUAAAUUUUUGAUAACCAAAUUAAUAUUUUUUUAAAUAAAAAAAAUGAUUUAUUAUUUUCAUGGAACUUUCAUCAGGUCCUGAAUACAAAUAGGUAAAAAUGUUCUGAUAGAAUCGAAGCUUAACCCUUUAAGGUUUUUUGGGUCAUACGCUGACCCAAACUUGAAACAUUUUAUUUUUUCAAUUAUUUAUGACUGUAAUUGUUUUUCCAUGUUACAAAUGCAUCAAAUUCACGAAUAAGGGGUCAAAGAAGACGUUCUGAGUGAGAAAAGUCCUCUAAAAAAAUUCAUAGAAUAAAAAUCGCGAUAAAAGAGCGCAUGUUUCAAUGUUUUUAUGUUUCACGUUGGACGUUAAAGGGUUAAAAUCUAGACCUGACAAUUUUAAUCUAAAUUAUUGAUUGUAUCUGUCAUUAAAAUAAAAAACGGUCUGACCAUUAAAACUAUUUUUUUCCUAAAAUUUAAUUUAAAAAAACAUUUUGUACAUUUUGCAAGCAACUGUAUCAAUUUACUUAAAAAAGAUAUUUAAAGUAAAUUGCCAGCUACAAGUAAAUGUUGCGCGUGUCGCCCUAAAAAAAGGGAAAAGCAACAAAAACAUCCAAUUUGGAUGAAAAUUCAGGAAGAAUAGCAAUGAAAAUUAAUCAGUGGGAACAUUCCAUAUCCCUCCGCACCUAAAUGAGUGACUUGAUGAAAUUUCCCUUUGCACACAGACGUACCCCGUAAAGCUAUAAAGUAUAUUUUCUGCAGUGUAAUACCUCUGCUGCUGUACGAUUUUGCCAUUUAUACAAGAAAAGGAAAAUGCUGUGCUGUGAAAGAUCAUUCUCCGGGAUUAUUUUGCUCGAUUUUUUUUCUUCUCUCUCUCUCUGCCUGCGUCUUUUGCUCGUUUCCAAUUGUGUCCUAUGUAUGUGUGUUUCAUAGAGCACAAGAAUCGGGGGAGGGGGUUUAUUGUAAUGAAAUGUACAUAAAAUGACGAUUUAUAGUGAGUUGUGUGUAUGUGGGUGGCUUUUUUUUGCCCUCACGCGGCCACCCCCUCGUAGCUAUCUUCUACAGAGCGGUAAAAUGUCAUCUCUCGGGGUCCCCUUCAUUGCAUAUUCAUGCUCUUUCUAUGCUCUAUGUGCACAAACUCCAUACAUUGUGGAAUUAAUUCCAUUGAACUUAUUCCACCCCCUCACAUGGUUUGACUACCUUUGCAAAGCAUCAUAAAUUCACACAGAUGCAUUUUUUGAGGAAAGAUAAGGUCAUAAUUGUUGACUAACUAAUGAAAUAUCUUUCUUAAGUAAUUAAAUUAAAAAAUUGAAAUGUUAAUAAUAAUUCAAAAAGUCGAUCUGAGGCAUAAAUAAAAAAUAUUGCAAGGAUUUCCAUUAUUUUAAAUCUUUAAAUGUUUGAAAAAAAAAAAGGAAUUUUAAUUACUUAUGUUCUGAGAAAAUUAAUAAUUUUGCACAACAUAAAAAAAACAAUUUUUCAAUUCAAACCACAUGUAAAUUACAGAAAAAAAGAGAUAUUUGCACAGCACAGUAGUAAUUCAGGAGAUUCUCUCGCGCCUUGCAAAAGUGCACAAAUCAAUUAUAUUUCCUCGUACUUCACACAGCUCUAUUUCACUGCGAUUUAUGUGGGACGAUCCCUCCUGUGUAGUGCGCAUAAAGUGCUGUGGAACGCGAUUUAGGGGUUUUGUGGGUGAAUCAUUUGGUGGGUGGGAGUUUCACUUAUUUAUCAACAUAUUCAGCUGGAGCGCAAUUAGAGGGUAAUUCAGGGGAUGCUUUAUUCAUUGGAUUUCCUGCAGUUAUUCAUUUUGAUGGCUUUCGGAUAGGAGAAAAGCGCAAACGCACUCAGAACUGAAUAACUCCUGAAAGUUUUGCUGAUUUGAAAAUGUCAUGGUGAAAUUUUUGCUUUAUUGGUUUUAAGAAAAUGAGAUUUUAUUCCCUCUUAAACCCUCUUAUAUUGCUCUCUAUAUUUAUUAAAAAAAUAAAUGAAAUGAAAGAUGAAUUAAUACACAGGAAGGGAAUUUUAAGACAUUUUUGAUUUUUUUUGUGCAUUUUUUGGUAGAUUUUUUAAAGAAUUUCUCUUUAUUAAUCAAUCAAAAAUAUUAGUUUCAAGUUCUUUGUUAAUUUGGAUGAAUAAUUUAUUUAUUUUCCUCAUUUCAGUGGUGUAAACAACCAUCCCAGUUAGUCACCUCAUACACCACUAGUUAGUCACAAAUAUCCCGUCAUAAAUAUCACUUGAUUUUAUGUUAACUUUGGCGAUUUGUUAGAUUUUUUACACCAAUAAAAUUUUGUGAGGUGGUGCAAAAACGAAUCCAAUAUUUACUGACUGAGUGAUAGAUUUCGAGGAAUUUUCUCAAUUGAAGGGCUACAUGUGGUGUAUGUGAUCAAAUAGACAAAUAUUUGUGGUUGAAUUGGAAUUAUAGAGAAACUCUCUGUGUGCCCUUUUUUCCUCAAUAAAAUUCAACGCAAAUUGCCUUUUGUGUUUGGAGACGCUAUUUUCAUGUUCAAUUUUCCCCUCUUAUUGAGUAUACUUUCAUUCACAUAUUGGGGACUUUUAUGUAAUUGAAUUAGUUUUUUCCCCAUUUGGAUUUCAAGGAUAUAAAUGAAUGACAUUUUCUGGCCAAUAUAUCAGGGUUAUGAGCUUCGUUACUGGAUUUUUUUUGUAUGAGUGCUGAGAAAAAGCUUUUAAUUCAAUUGGGAAGAUUUUUUUCAUUGUUGAAUUGAUUUAAUAAGCUAAAAAAAAAUGAUUUUUUAACUUUCUCCUGUACUAUUGUCUGAUAAUAUACUGAUUUCGACGACCAAAUUUAGUUAUUUAUUUAUCCGCAAGAUGCGGAUGGAUUCAUUUCUCUCUAUUCCAUUGCAAGAAAUAAGAUUGAUGGCACUUCACAUGAUUUCAAGCCAACUGUCUUAAUCCUAACGUUUACCUAUCUAAGGUGCCGAAAGCUUUGGAUUUUUUCUUUCAAUUUCAUUUCGAUUUUUCAACGUUUUAUAGGAACGAAUAUUUUACAAAAAAAAUGCAAAAUUUGUCCACUAGUCUCUUAGGUAAAAGAAAAUUCGUGGUUGUGGUAGAGGUUGGGUGUUUUGUGAAAUUUAUUAUGCGCAUAGAGAAUGUCAUAAAUGUAUCAACGGUGAAGGCUUAUAUGUCAUCAGAAUGUUAUUUUUCUCUAAUGUUAAAUAUUAAAAGGAAGAAUUUAAUAGCAGUGGAAUGACUGAGAGGUGUUUACGUACUGAAGUUGAAGGAGCUCCUUCAUCUUACCCAUAUAGCUUGGGUGCAAGUUGGAGGGAGAUGGGGUGUGUGUAUGUGCGCGCGAGAUUGAAUGAAUGAGGAGAGAUAUUGAGUUGAUAUAUGGGGUCUUGGGUCUCGUAUAAAAUUCAAUUUUUCAUCUUCAUUUUCCCACAACCACUUCUCAAUACACACGACCAUUUCCACGUGUUUGAAUGACUUUUUUUUCUCUCUCUCUUUCUCUCCCUCUCUCUUUUAAAAUUGCUUGUGUUUUUUGCUCUUGAGUCCAAAAGCAAAGUGAUAUGGAAAUGACUUCUUUUCGUAUAGUAUAAAUAAAUUGAUUGUGGUGGCUAUGCUGCGAAAUUUUUGUGUCCUCAACCAUGAGACAGAUUUACAUCUUUUUAAUAAGAAUUAAUGUGUCAACCAUUAAAAAUUACACACAGAUAGUCAAGUUGAAAUUCCUUUCUUUUUUUUUGUACUCAAUUUUAUUUCUCUUAUGGAAUUAACAAAGUAAAAGAAAAUGUAGAGCAAUGAUGGAAGAAAAGUUUAUUGUUUGAAUAACAUUGUAAUUUAGUUGUGUGAACAUUGUUCCUUUUUUUGGGGACUGCACCAUUUUCAAUUUCACAAAAGGAAAAUACAAAUUCUACCUACAUUGUUGCAUAUUUCUUUAUUUUCUCUGCAACAGAAUUAAGAGUUUGCCGUAAAGGAGGAAGAGAAGGUAUACCCAUAAAGUUUGUUCGGAAAAUUCUAUGAAUUGCAUAUUGUUUGGGGUGAAGGGGAGAGUCGUGCGCAUGCAGAUUUUUUAGAAGUGUUUGUGUUUAAAAAGACACAUUUUGUACAAUAUUUAUGUUUUGAUAAAUAUCACAUUCUAUUGAGAUAAGUGGCUUUAUUCUAAUUUAAUUGGACGCUUUUCUUAUUAAAAUUUUCUUAGAUUUUCACGAUUUAUGAACGUUUAAUUGAAUAAGAAGAAGUAUUUGUGUUUUAAAGAAGAGCUUUGAUUGAUUGAUGAAUUCGGACUACGUGUUUCAAUUGGCUAUCGCUCAUUUUCAGGGUGGAGCCUUAAUGCAAGGCUAUUUUGAAUAGAACUAAUUUUUUACAUCACAGCCCAAAAAAAUUUAAUCAGCGCAUGACUCCGUGCUGAGAAAAUUUAAAUUGCAGGCAAAAGCGCACAGAGCUUUUUAAUUUGAGUGAAAAAUGCAAUACAAACUGCUUUUCAUCUAAUUGACCACAUUCAUGACGUUUUAAACAUCAUAAUAAUCUAUAUAUCGUGAUACACUCAAUGCACAUUUUUCCUUCUCUCAUUGCCCAAGCAUAUUUUCCUUUGGAUUUUUUUUUUCUUCACAAUUCUCUGCAGCAGGAAAAAUGAAACACACAUAAUUGGUGUACGAUUGCAAUUACAUUUUACUGGGUGUAUUGAAUUGCUGUAUCGUGUGUCUUUUAAUAUGUGAUUAAAGUGCCAUGAAAGAAUGUUGGGUGGUUUGUCUGCCUGACUAUGUAUGUGUUAUAUGUAGUGUGUACUAUGUAUGGAAAAUCAACGAUAAAAAAUAAGAUUUGAAUGGCGAUUCGAGGGUACUUUUCAUCGCCCACUUUCCAUCGACUUUUCACUUUACCCCAAAAAGCAAUUUUUGUUCAUCAGGUGAGUCACACAGGUGUACAGUUUGAUUAGUUCAAAAGCGUGCAACUCGAUGUUUGCAAAGACAGGAAAAAAGGGGGUGGAAAAGUAAUUUCAUUGACCCCUUUUUUCCAAGCAGACUUAAACUGGGGAGUUUCCCAUUUCCAUCCCACGAAUUGAUAUAUAAAUGUUUUAUUUAGUGCGGGGUGUAUUUGCGAUAUAAUUUUCCAGAGUUUUUCUCGGAAAAACCAACCAUUUUAUUACGUAUGGAAAUUUUUUUUAGAUAAUGUAACAGGGUUGUGUAAGAAUGAAAAUUUUUAAGGAGAAAAUUCUUAAAAUAUGAGCAAAAUAGAAAAUUUUAAUCCAUUUAGCAGAAAAUUUAUUUAUUUUUGCGCUUAAAAGCUAAAGUGCAAUUGACGUCAAACGUGUCAAAAGUACGAGGGGGGAUUCGCAUAUAAUACAAUUUAGAGAUAAGGGAAAUAUUUUACAGCUGACUUUUGUAUGGAAUGUGUUAAGAUAAAGUAAAAUCUUAUACUGUGAAAAUUUUCCUAUAAAGUAUAUUAAAAAACACCCACAAGAGAUCAUCGAUAGAGAAGAAGAUUUGAUGACGUUAAUAAAUUAAGAAAUGACUUAAUUUUCUCAAGAUUUAUUCAAGCUUUCUAACAAAUCGAAUGCUUUUUUUCUGCAAAUUGACAUGAGUUCCAAGAAAUAAUUAAAGCUCAUUCGUGACAAACCCUGUCUAGUUGAAGGAAAAUUGCAGCAAGAGAAAAGUCUGUGAAUAAAGUACGAGAAAAAAUGUACAAGAUGCAAUAAGAAGAAAAAGGAAAAAGAAGAGAAUGACGAGUUGAGUAAAAUACAAAAAUCAAUCACUUUUGGGAUCAUUCACCCUUAUUUGAAAAUGGUUGUAUAUGUAUAUGUAUUUCGUAAUGAGAAAUGAUGCGAAGGAGAAAAAUUAUCAAUAUAUAUUUUUUCACGUUAUCUUCAUUCGUCUCAUCUAUCUUUGUCGUAUUGUAUGCUGUCUUUUGAUGUCAUUUAUGUCGUUUCUUCCGUUAAAGGGUUAUAUACCUUUGGGACAUGAUAAGAUGUGGUUGAAACGUAAAGCAAAAAGAACGUCUAACGUUUAAAAUUAAUCGUCAAGAAUAGGAAAAGAAACGUCUUACGUUAGAAAUAAAAUGUAAUACGUUAUAGAAAUAAUUUCUAACGUGAGAAAAGUAUAAUUUCGCAUAAGAAAAUAAAUAUCAAACAGAAAGGCAUGAAGAAAAUUUACUAAAGAGAAUCUUUUUUUUAAUUAUUCUAAAAGAUUCUUUUUCUUCCUCUAAAAACGCAUAAACCCCUUAAACUUUUCUCUACGGUUGAUUUUUUUUCUUGUCUCAUCUGUGGAUAUUGGAAAAAUAUGCAAUGCUGCGUCUCUUUUCACAUGUUCUUCCAUAUAUAUUUAUUCAAUUCUUAUGGAUGAGAUUUUCUGUCUUUUUGAAUUCCCUCUUCUAUGAAGUUUUUUUUUUUCAACUCAUUUUCUUUUCUCUUUUGUAUGGUAUGUUUGUAACAUAAAUUAUCUUUUACUCGCCUCGUGUAAUCGUUUGUAAUACGCACUUGAAUCUCGUGUAAUUACACCAAAGAGUUGAGAAUACUGAUAGAGGAGGCAUUUAUUGUGCAUUGGCCUGUUUCUAAAACGGUUAUAUGUUGAAAAAUAAAAAAUAAAAAAAGCAGUAGCAUGCAGUCUGUAUGAUGGUUUUGUAUUCUAUGCGCGCGCGGGAUCUCUAUUAAUAAGGAAAAUGUGUGCGCGCGCGCACAGAUUAGUGAUCAAAAUGCGAGAACUUGGGUUAUGAUCUCUCCCAUAAAGUAAAAUCUUUCUCUGUGAUUCUUUCGCAUUUCUCUCACAUACAGUAUGUACUGAAAAGUCUUAUUCUUGUGUUCUUGGGGGCAACUUUCUUGAGUGAUGCUGCGUACUCAGACUCUCUCUCUCUCUCUGUGUGAAGUAUCUCUCUGAGGCUCCCCCAUUUAAAAUUUAUUGAUAGUGCCAAGACGUUCAAAGUCUAAGAGAGAAAGAGUGGAGUUUUCUUUUCUCAACACUCAAAGGAGUACGCGCGAGAGGCUUUACGAUUCAUUUCAGUUUGUGAUGUCUUAGUAAUCUCAAGACUACCCAUUUGUGCUUGCACAUAGAACUUUUCUUUUUCCCCAUCUGAUUGUGCGUUGAGUGUUCUAAUGCCUGGGGAUUGUGGGCUAUCUUUAAGGAGGCAGGAUGUGCGCUUAAGAGUUUAAGCGAGUGAUGAAAUAUCAAGGAUUUUAGGAGAAUAUUGAAAAAGUUUUUCCAAGGCUUUUCCUGGCAUACAAUUUAAAAGAAAAUCUUUUCCUCAAGAGGAAAGGAGGAAGAGCAAAGAAAAAAAAAGAACGAGAAAAACUUCAGCUGGAGAAAAGUGUGAAGAAGUGAAGAAAUGUGUUGUUUAUAGGAAAAAGAGGGAAAGUCUUUCAAAAAAUUUUUCCUGCUGUGUGUCUCACAUUUCUUUUAUAUGGGUGUAUAUUGAAAGAAAAUCCAACGAAUUGGAUGAAACCUCGGUGACUGGUGUGGUGUGUAGAACUGAUAAAAGUCGAUGGUGUACAAUUUUGAAGUGUGUGGUGGAUGGAAAACAGGGGGGCGAGGAGAGAAAAAUGAGGGAAAAAAAGAAUGAUUGAAAUAACGAGAAAUCAUAAAGAAUUCUCUCUCUCUUUUUACCUUCUUCUUCAUCAAUCCGGUCGCUAAAUGCGGAAAAGUUGUGGGCACAACUUUAUACUCUUAUACAUUGAAUUUAAAACUCGAAUGUGCAAUUGCAUCAAAGUUGAGAUUUAUAUUUUUCUUUUAUCUUCACCGUUUACAUAAAAUGUGGGGUUUUCUUAUAUUGCGAUGAGUGAUACACACAUAAGUAUUUAAUUGUACAUAAAAUGGUGAAUUGUGUGUGGCAGCAAUUUGUGGCGGAUAAAUUGAGGAAUAAGCGCGCGCCAGAGGAGUUUUAAUGCAAAGACAGACAAGACAGUGAUUGUUGAAAAGAAAAUUCAUCGAAAAUGGCCAAUAGAAGUGAGAAUUGCAAUUACUUCACUGAAGAUUUGAAUUUUGGUUCAAAUCGCUUCCUGUUUAAUUCCCAAUUUGCACUCCCGAGACAAUUUCGUGGUGAGAGACAUCCAGUUUACGUGACGACAACAAUGGAGACGGAUGAUGUGGAAUCGUCCAGUAGUAGUACGAUGUCGAGCCUCAACAGUCUCUUCUCAUUCACGAGUCCGGCUGUUAAGAAGCUCCUGGGCUGGAAGCAGGGGGAUGAGGAGGAGAAGUGGGCCGAAAAGGCUGUCGAUAGUUUGGUGAAAAAGCUAAAGAAGCGCAAGGGUGCCAUUGAGGAGCUCGAAAGGGCUCUUUCGUGUCCUGGACAACCAUCAAAAUGUGUCACAAUUCCACGAUCUCUCGAUGGACGUUUGCAGGUAUCACAUCGCAAAGGACUCCCACAUGUUAUCUACUGCCGUGUCUGGCGAUGGCCAGAUUUGCAGAGCCAUCAUGAACUGAAGCCACUUGAGACGUGUCAGUAUCCAUUCAGUGCAAAGCAAAAGGAAGUUUGUAUAAAUCCGUAUCACUACAAACGCGUGGAGAGUCCCGUCUUGCCGCCUGUCCUUGUGCCGAGGCAUUCGGAAUUUGCACCAGGGCACUCAAUGUUGCCAUUUCAGUCGAUGGCGGAGCCCACAAUGCCACACAAUGUGAGCUACUCAAAUACAGGCUUCACAUCGCACAUGAGCCCCAAUAGUCCGCUAUCGUCGGUCUCGAGUCCGGGUUCGGUUAAUUCAAAUCCCACCAGUCCGUAUGGAUCUCUACCGGAGACGCCGCCACCUGCUUACAGCCCACCUGAAGAUGCCAAUAGCAACAAUCCCCCGGAUGCAUCGAUGGACAUCCAAAUGGGUGAGGUGGCACCGGUGCGGUAUCAGGAGCCCCCAUUUUGGGCGAGUAUCGCCUAUUACGAGCUCAAUUGCCGAGUCGGGGAGGUUUUCCACUGCUUGGCACCCACCAAUCAAACAUCCCACUCCAUCAUUGUUGAUGGCUUUACAAAUCCAGCCAAUAAUUCCCAGCGUUUCUGCCUGGGGCAGCUCAGCAAUGUGAAUCGCAAUAGUACAAUUGAGAAUACCCGGCGUCACAUUGGUAAGGGGGUGCACCUAUGCUAUGUCGGUGGUGAAGUCUAUGCUGAAUGCCUUUCGGAUUCGGCGAUAUUUGUACAAAGUCGCAAUUGCAACCAUCACCAUGGCUUUCAUCCGAGUACAGUGUGCAAAAUCCCACCUGGAUGCUCACUGAAGAUUUUCAAUAAUCAAGAAUUCGCUCAACUACUCAGCCAAUCGGUCAAUCAUGGCUUCGAGGCGGUGUAUGAGCUCACGAAAAUGUGUACGAUUCGUAUGAGUUUCGUUAAGGGAUGGGGUGCAGAGUAUCACCGUCAGGAUGUCACCUCAACACCAUGUUGGAUUGAAAUUCAUCUCCAUGGGCCACUACAGUGGCUCGAUAAGGUUCUCACACAAAUGGGAUCGCCACAUAAUGCCAUAAGUUCAGUCUCUUAAACCCCCCCUCCUGGUAUGCGUGUAUUGUGUGAGAUAAACAGCAAAUUGAGGAGCAAGAGGAUUCUUGGAGAAAAAAUUCCCUAUAAUAUGGUUCGUUAGGAUUUUAUAAAAUAGUCAUGGAAAUGAAUUUAAAGUUGUUAAAUGAGUUGAAAGAAAAAGGACACAAAAAAGAGAAAUAGGAGUGUUUAAGGAUAUUCCUUCAGUUUUAAAAGUUUCUGUUUUAUUUGUCAUUGUUUUGUUAAUAAAAAAUGAAAAAAAAAGUUGAGCCAUGUACUUCUAUGCAAAAUUAUUAGGGUAAUCAUUAGCGUACACGUUUUUUGACACCUUUGUCUUGAGUUCGAGACUCAGAUGAGGGUGUUUGUUUUUACGACUUUUAAAUCAUUUUUCCGUUGAUUUUUAUUACCGAAUUAAAAUAAAACUUUUUCUAAGCCGAUAAAUGAUAAUAAAAAUCUUUAAAGAAAACAAAAAUAAAGAUUUGAAAAGAAAUUUCAAAUUAAAAAAAUAUUCAAUGACUAUUUUAUAAAAUUCUAGAGCCAAUUUUUGUUUUCUUCCCUCUAAAGAAAAGCCUAAAUGGUUUAUUUUGCGUUAUUCAAUGAAAAUUUUUAUGAUUAAAAAAAUUCUUUUAUCAAAUUAGUUUUUAAGAAGUUAAAAUAUUUUUUAAGUGGAAAAUGUGAAAUUAUAUUUUUUAGUUUACAAUUUACUUCGUUUAGUUUUAAAAGUUUGAAAAGAAGAAAAAUGAAACAUUGCAAAGAGAGCAGCUAACAAUGAUAAAUUCUCAUUUGGAGAAUAUUUUAAGGGAGUUAAUAUUGUGUAAAAAAAAAGUAUAAUAAAAAGUUUUCUUCGGUUUCGAGAUCAAUUUAGUAAAAGAUGAAAAAAUAUUUUUCAAAGUUCUAAAUAAAAGAUUAAAACAUUUUUCGUGUAAUAAUUCGUAAAGUAUUUGAAUUGUAACUUUAAGUGGAUGUUUAAGCUAAAAAUAAACAAUAGAAAAUACAAUUCAAAAAUAUUUCCAAUGCAAAAUUUAAACUUCCACUCAAAGUUCUCCAAAAUUCAAGUAUAAUUCUAGAAGAUUAACUUUUUCUCAUUUAACUAUUAACGUUCUUAAAUGAUAACAUCUCUAAGAAAAAAAAUGGAAAAAAUAUACUAUAAACUAAUUGUAAUAAAAAUAAUAAUCUUCUUUAUUAAUGAAAGAAAAAUUAAUCAUAAAAUGAAAGAAAUAUGGUUAAAAAAAAUACUCUCAACCCUUCAUCUUCCCUCAAUCCUUCUUUCCGUGGAUUUUAAAAGUAAAGAAAAUGAAUGAAAAGUGAAAGAGAAAUUCCUAUUUAAGUUUAAUGAAAGCAAAAAUAAUGUAACAUUAAUGUUUUUUUUCUAGGAGAAUUUUGCCUAAAUGUUUAUUGAAAGAAUUUAAAGAAUAAAAAACAAGCUUCGUGGAUUUUUGAUAAAAUGCUUUAUUGUGCAUAAUUUUUGCUUCAACUGUGCAAUUUUAAACGCUGCUUUUUUGAAGAAUAAAAUGAGAGUAUUUUGAUUGUGGAAAGAAAAUAAAUAAAUAUUAUUCUGUUGAUUGAUUGUGUGCUCUCCUAUUGGCCCCACAAUCAAUUUGGUGUGUCUUAAGAGAAAACAAAAAUAUUUUAUUGAAAAGAAGAAAAA